Molecule: ribosomal RNA, 626 nt
Filed under: Mycena pura
Lineage: Eukaryota; Fungi; Basidiomycota; Agaricomycetes; Agaricales; Mycenaceae
Description: eukaryotic LSU rRNA
Rfam family: 5.8S ribosomal RNA (bases 200-353)
Source: RNAcentral
UAUUGGGCAUGUGCUCNCACCAUAUUAUUUAUCUAUCUCUUGUGCACCUUUUGUAGUCUUUGAAGUGUUCGCAGUCAAUGCGGUUUGGGGCUUGGGCUUUUGAAGUCCUUUCCCUGUUUGCUUCAAAGGCUAUGUUUUAUACACACUAUUUGAAGUUACAGAAUGUCUCUUAUUGACCUUAGAGUCAGUAAAUCAAUACAACUUUCAGCAACGGAUCUCUUGGCUCUCCCAUCGAUGAAGAACGCAGCGAAAUGCGAUAAGUAAUGUGAAUUGCAGAAUUCAGUGAAUCAUCGAAUCUUUGAACGCACCUUGCGCCCUUUGGUAUUCCGAAGGGCAUGCCUGUUUGAGUGUCAUUAAAUUCUCAACCUUGCAAGCUUUUUUGCUAGUGAGGCUUGGAUGUGAGGGCUUUUGCUGGCUUCCAUUCAGUUGGAUGGUCUGCUCCCUUUAAAUUCAUUAGUGGAUUCCUUUGUGGAUGGUCACUUGGUGUGAUAAUUAUCUACGCCGCCUGACUCUGAUACAAGACUUGUGGGGACCUGCUUAUAACCGUCUCUUUCAAGAGACAAUCUAUAUUGACAAUUUGACCUCCAAUCANGUAGGACUACCCGCUGAACUUAAGCAUAUCAAUA